This 441-nucleotide ribosomal RNA is filed under the name uncultured bacterium. Its description in RNAcentral is "partial 16S ribosomal RNA". It matches the Rfam family "Bacterial small subunit ribosomal RNA", at positions 338 to 795 of the family's 1533-position model. The record is from RNAcentral.
CCUACGGGAGGCAGCAGUAGGGAAUCUUUCACAAUGGGCGAAAGCCUGAUGGAGCAACGCCGCGUGCAGGUGCAGGCCUUCGGGUUGUAAACUGCUUUUAUAAGCGAGAGAUAUGAUGGUAACUUAUUAAUAAGUAUCGUCUAACUACGUGCCAGCAGCCGAGGUCAUACGUAGGAUCCGAGCAUUCUCCGGAGUGACUGGGUGUAAACAGUUGCGUAGGUGGCAUAAUAAGUAGCUCGUGAAAUCUGGUGGAUCAACAAUUCAGACUAUUAGCUAAACUGUUAAGCUCGAGACCGUUAGGGGUAACUGGAAUUUCUGGUGUAGGAGUGAAAUCCGUAGAUAUUAGAAGGAACACCAAUAGCGUAGGCAGGUUGCUGGGACGGUUCUGACACUAAGGAACGAAAGCGUAGGGAGCAAACGGGAUUAGAUACCCUAGUAGUC